AACGAACGCUGGCGGCAUGCCUAACACAUGCAAGGCGAACGAGACCGUCGGGUCUAGUGGCGCACGGGUGCGUAACGCGUUGGAACCUGCCCUUAGGUUCGGAAUAACUCCCCGAAAGGGGUCCUAAUACCGGAUAAUGUCUUCGGACCAAAGAUUUAUCGCCUUUGGUUGGGCCCGCGUUGGAUUAGCUAGUUGGUAGGGUAAAAGCCUACCAAGGCGACGAUCCAUAGCUGGUCUGAGAGGAUGAUCAGCCACACUGGGACUGAGACACGGCCCAGACUCGUACGGGAGGCAGCAGUGGGGGAUAUUGGACACUGGGCGAAAGCCUGACCCAGCAAUGUCGGGUGAGUGCUGAAGGCCUUAGGGUUGUAAAGCUCUUUUACCCGGGAUGAUAAUGACAGUACCGGGAGAAUAAGCUACGGCUAACUACGUG
RNAcentral lists this ribosomal RNA (433 nucleotides) under uncultured bacterium. RNAcentral's name for it is "partial 16S ribosomal RNA". It matches the Rfam family "Bacterial small subunit ribosomal RNA", at positions 29 to 507 of the family's 1533-position model. The record is from RNAcentral.